GUUCCUCUGGUCUACCCAGUACAGCCAGUAGAGGACUGGCCACCCCUCAUAGCCUGGUUCCUCUGGUCUACCCAGUACAGCCAGUAGAGGACUGGCCACCCCUCAGAGCCUGGUUCCUCUCUACCCAGUACAGCCAGUAGAGGACUGGUCACCCCUCAGAGCCUGGUUCCUCUCUACCCAGUACAGCCAGUAGAGGACUGGUCACCCCUCAGAGCCUGGUUCCUCUGGUCUACCCAGUACAGCCAGUAGAGGACUGGUCACCCCUCAGAGCCUGGUUCCUCUGGUCUACCCAGUACAGCCAGUAGAGGACUGGUCACCCCUCAGAGCCUGGUUCCUCUGGUCUACCCAGUACAGCCAGUAGAGGACUGGCCACCCCUCAGAGCCUGGUUCCUCUCUACCCAGUACAGCCAGUAGAGGACUGGUCACCCCUCAGAGCCUGGUUCCUCUCUACCCAGUACAGCCAGUAGAGGACUGGUCACCCCUCAGAGCCUGGUUCCUCUCUACCCAGUACAGCCAGUAGAGGACUGGCCACCCCUCAGAGCCCGGUUCCUCUCUACCCAGUACAGCCAGUAGAG
This 575-nucleotide long non-coding RNA is filed under the name Salmo salar (Atlantic salmon). Its description in RNAcentral is "lncRNA (ENSSSAG00000107450.1)". Lineage: Eukaryota; Metazoa; Chordata; Actinopteri; Salmoniformes; Salmonidae. The record is from RNAcentral.